Molecule: ribosomal RNA, 577 nt
Filed under: uncultured bacterium
Lineage: Bacteria
Description: partial 16S ribosomal RNA
Rfam family: Bacterial small subunit ribosomal RNA
Source: RNAcentral
UGGGGAAUAUUGGACAAUGGGCGCAAGCCUGAUCCAGCAAUGCCGCGUGUGUGAAGAAGGCCUUCGGGUUGUAAAGCACUUUUAUCAGGAGCGAAACGCUGUCGGCUAAUACCCGGCGGAACUGACGGUACCUGGGGAAUAAGCACCGGCUAACUUCGUGCCAGCAGCCGCGGUAAUACGAAGGGUGCAAGCGUUAAUCGGAAUUACUGGGCGUAAAGCGUGCGUAGGCGGUUUCUUAAGUCUGCUGUGAAAUCCCCGGGCUCAACCUGGGAACGGCAGUGGAUACUGGGAGGCUAGAGUGUGUCAGAGGGUGGUGGAAUUCCCGGUGUAGCGGUGAAAUGCGUAGAGAUCGGGAGGAACAUCAGUGGCGAAGGCGGCCACCUGGGACAACACUGACGCUGAGGCACGAAAGCGUGGGGAGCAAACAGGAUUAGAUACCCUGGUAGUCCACGCCCUAAACGAUGCGAACUGGAUGUUGGUCUCAACUCGGAGAUCAGUGUCGAAGCUAACGCGUUAAGUUCGCCGCCUGGGGAGUACGGUCGCAAGACUGAAACUCAAAUGAAUUGACGGGGUCAUA